AUUGAACGCUGGCGGCAUGCCUUACACAUGCAAGUCGAGCGCGAAAGGGGGCAACCCCGAGUAGAGCGGCGGACGGGUGAGUAAUACAUCGGAACGUACCCAGUAGUGGGGGACAACCUCGAGAAAUCGAGGCUAAUACCGCAUACGACCCACGGGUGAAAGCGGGGGACCGCAAGGCCUCGCGCUAUUGGAGCGGCCGAUGUCCGAUUAGCUAGUUGGCGGGGUAAGAGCCCACCAAGGCGACGAUCGGUAGCUGGUCUGAGAGGACGACCAGCCACACUGGGACUGAGACACGGCCCAGACUCCUACGGGAGGCAGCAGUGGGGAAUUUUGGACAAUGGGGGCAACCCUGAUCCAGCCAUGCCGCGUGCGGGAAGAAGGCCUUCGGGUUGUAAACCGCUUUCGGCCGGAACGAAAUCGCCCGGGUGAACAUUCCGGGUGGAUGACGGUAC
Molecule: ribosomal RNA, 452 nt
Filed under: uncultured soil bacterium
Lineage: Bacteria
Description: bacterial SSU rRNA
Rfam family: Bacterial small subunit ribosomal RNA
Source: RNAcentral